CUCCCUUCAGUCGAAAACUAGACCUUUGGAGUUUCCUGGAUAUCCCUCGAAGUCGCCUUGUCAAAUACCCUUUACUGUUAAAAGAAAUCCUUAGACAUACGGCAAAAGACCACCCAGAUGUUCAGUUGCUGGAGGAAGCAGUAUUGAUAAUACAAGGAGUUCUUUCUGACAUCAACUUGAAGAAAGGUGAAUCCGAGUGUCAGUAUUACAUCGACAAGCUGGAAUACCUGGACGAGAAGCAGAAGGACCCCAGGAUCGAAGCGAGCAAAGUGCUGCUGUGCCAUGGGGAGCUGAAGAAUAAAAGUGGCCAUAAACUGUACAUUUUCCUGUUUCAAGACAUCUUGGUUUUGACUCGGCCUGUCACACGAAAUGAGCGUCACUCUUACCAGGUUUACCGGCA
Long non-coding RNA from Microtus ochrogaster (prairie vole), 400 nucleotides. RefSeq lists it as uncharacterized. The transcript has 3 exons. The record is from RefSeq and is a predicted model, not a curated record. NCBI's taxonomy places the organism in Eukaryota, Metazoa, Chordata, Mammalia, Rodentia, Cricetidae.